Molecule: ribosomal RNA, 827 nt
Filed under: Sirastachys phyllophila
Lineage: Eukaryota; Fungi; Ascomycota; Sordariomycetes; Hypocreales; Stachybotryaceae
Description: eukaryotic LSU rRNA
Rfam family: Eukaryotic large subunit ribosomal RNA
Source: RNAcentral
AUUGCCUCAGUAACGGCGAGUGAAGCGGCAACAGCUCAAAUUUGAAAUCUGGCCCUAGGCCCGAGUUGUAAUUUGCAGAGGAUGCUUUUGGUGAGGUGCCUUCCGAGUCCCUUGGAACAGGGCGCCAUAGAGGGUGAGAGCCCCGUCUGGUUGGACACCGAACCUCUGUAAAGCUCCUUCGACGAGUCGAGUAGUUUGGGAAUGCUGCUCUAAAUGGGAGGUAUAUGUCUUCUAAAGCUAAAUACCGGCCAGAGACCGAUAGCGCACAAGUAGAGUGAUCGAAAGAUGAAAAGCACUUUGGAAAGAGAGUUAAACAGCACGUGAAAUUGUUGAAAGGGAAGCGUUUACGACCAGACUUAGGCCCGGUUGAUCAACCAGCGUUCUCGCUGGUGCACUCUCCCGGCCUAGGCCAGCAUCAGUUCGUCUCGGGGGAUAAAGGCGUCGGGAAUGUAGCUCCCUCGGGAGUGUUAUAGCCCUUCGUGCAAUACCCUGAGGUGGACUGAGGUUCGCGCUCUGCAAGGAUGCUGGCGUAAUGGUCGUCAACGACCCGUCUUGAAACACGGACCAAGGAGUCGUCUUCGUAUGCGAGUGUUCGGGUGUAAAACCCCUACGCGUAAUGAAAGUGAACGCAGGUGAGAGCUUCGGCGCAUCAUCGACCGAUCCUGAUGUUCUCGGAUGGAUUUGAGUAAGAGCAUACGGAGCCGGACCCGAAAGAAGGUGAACUAUGCCUGUAUAGGGUGAAGCCAGAGGAAACUCUGGUGGAGGCUCGCAGCGGUUCUGACGUGCAAAUCGAUCGUCAAAUAUGGGCAUGGGGGCGAAAGACUAAU